UCAAGAUUGGCCGAGAGGUUAAGGCGUUAGAAUGAGGUUCUAAUGUACAGACGUACGCGUGGGUUCGAACCCCACAUCUUGAA
This is a transfer RNA of Hanseniaspora valbyensis NRRL Y-1626, 83 nucleotides long. It matches the Rfam family "tRNA". From Rfam's summary of the family: Transfer RNA (tRNA) molecules are approximately 80 nucleotides in length. Their secondary structure includes four short double-helical elements and three loops (D, anti-codon, and T loops). NCBI's taxonomy places the organism in Eukaryota, Fungi, Ascomycota, Saccharomycetes, Saccharomycodales, Saccharomycodaceae. The record is from Rfam.